AACAAAAAACAACCCCAAAAUGUAGUGAUUCGUUUGCAACACAAUAUAGCUGUUUAGUAGUAAUGCUAAUAUUAAUAAAUGUUGUUAUCCAGAUUCGGGCUUUUUCGUUUAAUUCGGGUAAAGACCAACCAGCCCCCUCCCCUACAAAAAUUGGAUCCGGUACCGAGAUACGAACCCAGUAUCUACCAGCCAUAUUUCUUAUGGAUCAUUCAACCACUACACUACCGAGAUGGGUCGGCUUUAUCUUUAAUUCCGGCAUAACAGGGUUCCCCGGAGUGCUUUACAGAGGAAGAAGUAAAGGUCACGUGACAUGUGGUGUUCUCAGGCGACCAAUUGCAAUCUUAUUCUUGGAUUAUUUACUCAAAGGCGUCGCCUGUCUCCUCCGCGUCGCGAAGUAGUCCGCAUCAUCCUUUUCGGGCUGUGUUCGAACUGCGUGUGAUAGAUAAUAUGCUGACGUCAGGUUUCUCUUAUCGAUUUGUGCUCUUGGGAAAGAGAAGAAGAAACAAAAUGGAAUGGACGAUCGAAUUGUCACGAAUGACGUCAUACCAGAGUCAAUCAAGAAUGCACCCUAAACGAAAACUGGUUCGAAGACGAAUACUUCUGUAUGAAAUAUACACACUUUUGCAAACUGGAACGCGGGAAGACCAGGCGAGCCACCAUUAAUAUUUCCCGACAACCUCGUCCGUGCGUGAGCGCAUAAAGUUGCCAGGUCAGUUUUCGUAAUGCCUUCAAAGAAACUUAAAUUUUAAUAUUGAUUACUUUUCUUGAGUUCAAAAGAAUAUCUGUCUACUUAUUUUUAAAGGAGCUUGAUUUGAACCUCAUAAAAUUAUUCUUAUUGAUUUCUGAAAUAAUCUGUUUUAAAUACUAGGUCAUCACACACACACACACACACACACACACACACACACACAUACAUACAUACACACACACACACAAAGAC
Long non-coding RNA from Gigantopelta aegis, 940 nucleotides. RefSeq lists it as uncharacterized. The record is from RefSeq and is a predicted model, not a curated record. The transcript is spliced from 3 exons. Lineage: Eukaryota; Metazoa; Mollusca; Gastropoda; Neomphalida; Peltospiridae.